AUCCCUUCUUGGCCUUUUGGCUAAGAUGAAGUGUAACAUCUGUUCUUAUCCAUUGUAUACUUAUAGCUGAUUCACGUGGUCAUACAGCAGACACCAAGACAACACUGUAAAGCAAUUUUACUCCAAUUAAAAAAUGUUUAGGAAAGUCAU
Small nuclear RNA from Bos grunniens (domestic yak), 150 nucleotides. Its record names the gene U2. It matches the Rfam family "U2 spliceosomal RNA". Rfam says of the family: U2 is a small nuclear RNA (snRNA) component of the spliceosome (involved in pre-mRNA splicing). Complementary binding between U2 snRNA (in an area lying towards the 5' end but 3' to hairpin I) and the branchpoint sequence (BPS) of the intron results the bulging out of an unpaired adenosine, on the BPS, which initiates a nucleophilic attack at the intronic 5' splice site, thus starting the first of two transesterification reactions that mediate splicing. The record is from Ensembl. Lineage: Eukaryota; Metazoa; Chordata; Mammalia; Artiodactyla; Bovidae.